GACGAACGCUGGCGGCGUGCUUAACACAUGCAAGUCGAACGGAAAGGCCCCCUUGUGGGGUACUCGAGUGGCGAACGGGUGAGUAACACGUGAGUAACCUACCCUUGACUUUGGGAUAACUUCAGGAAACUGGGGCUAAUACCGGAUAGGAGCUCCUGCUGCAUGGUGGGGGUUGGAAAGUUUCGGCGGUUGGGGAUGGACUCGCGGCUUAUCAGCUUGUUGGUGGGGUAGUGGCUCACCAAGGCUUUGACGGGUAGCCGGCCUGAGAGGGUGACCGGCCAAAUUGGGACUGAGGUACGGCCCAGACUCCUACGGGAGGCAGGAGGGGGGAAUAAUGCAAAAAGGGCGGAAGCCUGAUGCAGCAAAGCCGCGGGCGGGAUGAAGGCCUUCGGGUUGUAAACCGCUUUCGCCUGGGAAGAAGCGUGAGGGACGGUAAUGGGUAAAGAAGCACCGGCUAACUACGUG
This 465-nucleotide ribosomal RNA is filed under the name uncultured bacterium. RNAcentral describes it as "partial 16S ribosomal RNA". It matches the Rfam family "Bacterial small subunit ribosomal RNA", at positions 28 to 507 of the family's 1533-position model. The record is from RNAcentral.